Molecule: long non-coding RNA, 5496 nt
Organism: Brassica napus (rape)
Lineage: Eukaryota; Viridiplantae; Streptophyta; Magnoliopsida; Brassicales; Brassicaceae
Exons: 13
Source: RefSeq, a predicted model, not a curated record
CUGAUAGAAAAAGUGUGUAUAAUUGGCGUAUGUUUUGUUUUGAGACUAUAAUGGGCAUUUCUAUGGAGCUGUGAACUAUUUAAUUGAUUUUUAUAACAUACACUACGUUAGUUAAAAUAAGUAUUUUAUUAUAACCAGAUGUAGAUAUAACGGAACUGUUGGUAUUAUUUAACCAAUAAAAUGAUUGGAUGGAAUAAAAUUAUGUAAAUGUACUUUUGACUGUAUUUAAGGUUUUUAUUUUUGAUAUUAAAAUGAAUUUAUUAAUAAAUUCAAGGUAAUAGAAAUAAGUUGAUUCCAGUUGCCAACCAAUUAGGAAUAAACAAAACUUAUAUGGGGAAAACUACGAACUAUGUAAGUCUACACAUAUGUCUUUUUUUUUUGGUCAAUCUACACAUAUGUUUAAAUUAUAGGAGAUGUAAAGUAGUGAAAAGUAUAAAAAGUCAACAUAGCCUAUAAAAUAUUUAUAAUAGCAAUUAGCCACGAUAAUUUAAGCUAUAACAAAUAUGUUUAUAAUUGAUGUGAGAAUAAAGUUAAUAAGAUAUAUAAGAAACCAAUUUCUUAGUAAUAUUAUUAAAAUAAAUGAUACAUAGGCACAUUAUCACUUCUUUUAGCUAGGUUUAUUAAAUUCUUACAAAUUAUGUUUUUCCUGGGAUGUUUAUGUUCAUUUCACCUAGGUAAAAUUCUCACUAGUACAAAUUAUAGGAAUAACCCAUUAACUUCAAAUUUCUAGAACCUCUAUAAAUUAAUAAUAUUGAAACUUUGAAAUUUUAUUAAUUUAUAGAGAUAUUAAUUUACAAAAGUUUCCUUAUUUAGAUUUUUUAUUUUAAGAUAUAUUUAUUCUAAGAUAAGAGCAAGUUUGUGCACUGGCGAUUACUCGGCUGCGAAAAUCUCCCGAUCUAAACCCUUAGAAAAUUCGUACAUCAAACUCUGCACUUUGGGAAGUUCCAUGAAUGCUUUUACAGACUAGAAACAUAAUUUAAAGUAGAACUUAACAUUCUAGGUUUGUAUUAAAAUUAGGAGCAUAUGCAAGAGCGGUUCAACGUCUUCUGAAAUUAGAUACUAAUUUAAACAUUGUAUCAUUUCAGUAUUGUGUGUUCAUGUUACCGUUGAAUAAAACAAAACCAGAGAAUUAUUUCUCAAAACAUGGCCAAAACACUUGGUUCUCGGAGCCCCAAUAGUUUCCAUGUUUGUGUACUGAAUUUGAGAAAAGACAUUGUUUUCUUGGCGUUGGCUCUAACAAUAUUAAUACGUUAAAAAACAAAAAUAUAAAUAAUUAGAUUCCACAAUUUCAUUUACUAGAAUACUUAUUUGCUUAGUUAGCAUCAGACUUAUAGAUUUAUCGGCACCAACAUAACUCCUGAAUGUGCAUGUAACGACCCGGUUUUCUUAACCGGCUGGUUUGGUUUCUCUUUAAUUAAUUUGGAUUGAACCAAACCAUUUCUCAAUUUAAACCAUUAAUUUUUCUUUAGUUAAUCGUGGGUGUGGCAUUAUACCUAGCUAUAUAUAUUAAUUGUAUUUACCUCUUUCCAGACUAAAACCUAAAACUCCAUUAUUUCUCCGCCACCUUCCCGUGCGAGAGUUUUAUGUCAAACGUCUCACACCAACUUCAUCAUCUUCUCUCCGUUAUUAUUCUCCUCUAGCACAUCUUCUCUUGCACUCGUGUUUGUCUCGUUGUCUCAUGGAAUAGUGGAUUCCAUAUCCGCCGCCGUUCAUCACAUCCUCCAUAGCCACCAUCACGCCUUGAUCACUACCGGAGAUAGCCUUGCGAUCGGAGAUGUCGUCGCUUGCAUGCGGAGGUACACUAGCCCGUGAUGUGGAGGAGAGACAAACGCACCCGUCGUAUUGCGUCACCGUCACCGUCACCCAUCACACUAGAGAUCUGAGAUGUCAUUGUACGAGUCGCCGACAGCCAUAUCGGAUUUACCCGAGUGUGUUUGAUCGUGACAUGUACUUCAGACCAAGGUUCCCCCUUCUCUUAUUUGAUCAAACGUGAGCCCAUGUGUAUGAUUUAAGUGCACUCCUCAUGUUUCUUGCGAAUUAUGUUUCCUUAAAACCCUAUUUUUAAUUAUUUAAUAAUUAUGUAUUUUGUCUUGUCUUGUUUCCGUUUCAUUCCAAUUUGUCGAGAGAUUGAGACUCGAGAUCCAUGGCAAUAUCCUAGCUUUCUUGCUAAUCAAGUUAUCUCAUUUAUUGUUGGAGCCAUUUCCGGUUUUCCGAUAAGGCAAAGGGGGAGAUGGUUUCAAUCUGAUGAAGACAGUCCGACCAGAUGAGUUUUGUUCUUCAUAACAUAAAGACUCAAUCCUAUCCAUCGCUAACAGCAUCGACAACCAGACGAGGUCUUGCUUCUCUUAAACAAGACCAUUGCCACGACCCCAGUAGUAUUAUCACAACAAACUUGCAUUCGACUUCAGUAAUUGAAGAAGGACUAACGAUUAAGAUCUUAAUGGGAUAAUACUAUCAGAGAUAAGGGGACAAGAAUUCAUGCUUCAGUUGGUGAACAACUCAUCAAAAAAUUCGAUGACAAGCUACGCUAGGGAGAUGCGAUUGUCCUCCAGUUGUUCAAAGUGUACGAUAUAAUUGACUUCUUUCACACAACAUUUGUUGGAAUAGCUGAUGAUUUUCCAAGUGCAGUUCCCGAAAAGUAUUUCGCGGACUUCUCUGAUAUUCUUGGUGGAAAUCUUGACCAUAGCUGUUUGGUUGAUGUGGUUGGCCAAAUAGUUAACUUCGGGUCUCUGGAAAACAAAAUAAUAAAAGGAAAAGACAACAUGAGGCUCUUGGUUGAGUUGCGUGACCCAAAUAAUGUGAAGAUGAUGUGUACUCUGUGGGGUAGUUAUGCUAAACAAGUAUACGAUUACAGUAGGAGUAACAUGUCCACCAUGAUUAUUUGUGUGAUCAGAUUCUGUUCUGUUAAAGAGUGCAAAGGUGCUUACUCCAUAUCUAGCGGGUAUAAUUCAACCCAUAUCCUGCUCAACCCAACACUUGAUUUUAUUGAGGAGUUCAAAGCAAGUCUCCCUGAUGAUUCACUUGCUCUUACGAACAACGAUAGUAGCCAAUGGUCUGUUGGUACUGCUACUUCUAUUUGUGCCAGGUUUUUUGUUCUUAAUGAGAGGCUAACCAUCGGAGAGACCAUUGAUAGCUAUGUGGUUGGCACUUUUGUUACUCUGGGGACCAUUGAAACAAUUGAUACUGAACGUGGCUGACAAUAUCUAAGUUGCAAAUACGACAACAAAAAAGUGAUGCCUACAACCAAUGUUGAUGCUGAUGACCGGCCCUUGUUCUUCUGCAAUACGUGUGACAAAGAACACAGUGAUGUUAUUUCCAGGUUCAAAUUAAUUGCCAAUGUCAAGGACGAUAGCGGUGAGGCUAAUUUUCUGUUGUUUGAUGCUAAUGCUCAAGCAAUUGUGCGUCAUUCUGCUGCUGAACUCUAUGACGAGAAUGAAGAUGAAGACUUCUUACCUGAAGCAGUGAGCGAUCUCUUUGGUAAGAGAGUCCUUUUUGAGAUUUCAGUUGACGCUGAUAACAUCAAAGGAAAGAGUUCUCAGUAUGUUGUUCGAUUGGCUACUGAUGACCGUGAAAUGGUUGAGGAAUUUGCUGAUUUGCCUCCUAAAUCUAACCCGGUACUAAUGUUGGAGUCCGCAGAUGAUAUUUCCUCUGGUUCUGGUGGUUUUACAGCAACUCCUUUGUCCAAAAGAAAAAGCGAACAAGAUGACGACAGUUGCCUUGAGGAUCAACACUCUGUUAACAAGAAACUCUCUCAAAAGAAACUCAAGGGCGAGUGAGCUGUCUCUUUUUGAUGAGUUGAUGUCCUUUAUAGUGUUAUGGCUUUGUUUUUGCUUCAUUUUUUAAAACUUUAUCUGAGUAUCUUUGUCUUUGGUUUUGUUUAAGAUUUAGUCCGACCAUCUUUGUUUUUUGCUUUUAAUUGGAAUAAAAAUUUAUCAAGUUCCAAUCUAAACCAGACAACCUUUUCUUUGGUUGGCUCUGACUUUUGAUUUGGUAUUUAUGCCAAUCGGUAACGUCUUAGAAUCAUUACAUUGGUAAAAUUCCUUAUUCGGAGAGUUCUUUGGUUGGUUCUGACAAUAGAUUUUGUAUUAAGCUCAAAUUGGCAUAAAUACAAAGUUAGCCCAUUUGAAAUACUGAAUAACAAAAAAUGUAACCGAAAUUUUACUAAUCGUAACAUUAUUAUCAAACCGAUCCCCCUUAUUAGAAUUUUAUUGGUAGUAAUACAAUCUCAGCCCAUUUGUAAUACCCAACUAAAAACCAAUUUAUUGCCCGAAUAGUAUUUAAGCCCAUAAUUUUGUAGCUGCUAUACUAUUAAAUACUUUUUGACGUUUUUUUUAUAGACAGUAUUAGACUAUAUUUUUUAAUAUGAAAACUUCUUUGUAUAUUAAUUUGAAGAUUCUUUAACUAAACAUUUAUCUAAAAAAAUCAUGCAAAUAGAUCAUAGAUAUAAACCAAGGUAGUGCAACCAAUGGGUUCUUUGUACAGGAAGUGAAAAUCGAAAAUUAUUAAAAAAACAGAAGUUUAAUGCAUAACCUUUUUCAGAUAAAGGUUAUCGAGAUUAUUUUGGAAGAAAAUAAUUAUCAUAUUUAUAAUAAAAACAUACACGGAAAAUAUGAUUAAGUCGGUAUAUAAAACAAUUAAUUGGAAAGGUAAAUACAAUUAACAUAUUUAUAAUUUAUGUUUUCGAUAAGUAAUGUGAAAAGACACGACUCAUCGAGAGUCCCCUAGACAUUAUAAAUACAGCAGUGAAUAAUUGUGAACAAAAUCUUUCAUCUCACUUCUUCUCCGAUUGAGUCUCUCCAACUUUCGGUAAGUUUAUUUUCUUUCUCUUUAGUUUUUUCUUUCAAAUAUAUUGCAUGUAGAUCCAUCAAUUUUCUGUAUAAGCGGUUACCAAUUGAAUCAAGACUUUUUAGGUUUUGUAUCCGUCAUGCGUCUUUUUGUUCAAAAACCUGUCUAGGAUCUUGGUAGGCUUGCUUUCUGUAAAAAUCAAUGAGUAUUUAGGAGAUCUUAUGUGUACAACUGCUUAUUAUUGAUCGUUGUAACUAUUUUUUCCGCUGGCAUAAUAUAACGUUUAUAACUAAUACUGUUUAUAAUAAGCAGAUCGACCAACAUCUCGCGAUGGCAUUCAAGAAGGACCUUAAACGCAAGUCUCCAAUGACUGAUGAUUACGGUACUUCUCUUGAAGAGGCAUUCAAAAAUGGAAUGGAGGGGACGACUGCGCAUUACCAAGCCAUUCUCUUUAUGUACAAGCAACUACAUGAUGCGCUCAUCAAGAAGCAUGCUGAAGAACUUGAAGUCGCUCGCGUACAAGGUAAACUGGAACUCUUUGACGAACUCUUCAACAUGUCUGCAUUGAGCGAAGAGAAAGAGAAGAUAGAGUCGGAACUCGUGCUUGCAGAGGCCAAGGCGGCUGAUGUGAAGGUUCCUUACAUCGAUUGGUAGAAGUUGAAUGAGCCACAGAUGUUUGAUUAACCUUGUCAAUUUCUUGUUUGCUUCAAG